Molecule: long non-coding RNA, 511 nt
Organism: Esox lucius (northern pike)
Lineage: Eukaryota; Metazoa; Chordata; Actinopteri; Esociformes; Esocidae
Source: Ensembl
GAGAGAGGGCAUUGGAGUAACUGGCACAGCAAGGUUGCCGAGGCAGGACGUGACAGGAAUUGUCUUUUGCACAGUUAUGGAGAUGUUUCCUCCUCACCACAUCAGUAAUGGUAUCCACAGUUGUCUACCCACGGAAGAUCUGCUCUGGAAUGUAAGAGGUAGGGACUCUGCCAUACUAGCCUCCAGUGGAUGCUGGUUCCAAAAUUGAGGAAUCAGGACAGAGAAGAGUCUUGACUGCGUGGAUCGGGAGGUGGCUUCCCAAAGGCAUGGGACGACCAGGAGGCAAGACAAGGAUGAACAAAGAGCUGUGGGAUCCGCAACGGAAGAAAACGGUGGUGCCUCAAAGCCAUUGUGGUAUAUGAUUGAUGAGACAAGAAACUUGGCCCAAAUGACCUGAAACCUCCCAACCCAACUCAACAUUCCAGCAGGAAUUCCCAGCCUCUGCCACAGAGGCAUUCCCCUUUUUAUAAGAACUUGUGGUCGGACCUUCUCUAGUCAAUUUGACAGCCUG